Molecule: ribosomal RNA, 290 nt
Filed under: uncultured bacterium
Lineage: Bacteria
Description: partial 16S ribosomal RNA
Rfam family: Bacterial small subunit ribosomal RNA
Source: RNAcentral
GGAUGAACGCUAGCGGCAGGCCUAACACAUGCAAGUCGAACGGUAAGGCCCAGCUUGCUGGGUACACGAGUGGCGCACGGGUGAGUAACGCGUAUGCAACCUGCCUCGAACAGGGGGAUAGCCCCGAGAAAUUGGGAUUAAUACCCCAUAACGCAUCGGAGCCGCAUGGCUCUGUUGCUAAAGCCCCGGCGGUUCAGAUGGGCAUGCGUGGCAUUAGCUAGUUGGNGGGUAACGCCACAAGGCGUCGAUGCCUAGGGGUUCUGAGAGGACAGCCCCCCCAACUGGUACCG